This 310-nucleotide ribosomal RNA is filed under the name uncultured eukaryote. RNAcentral's name for it is "partial 18S ribosomal RNA". It matches the Rfam family "Eukaryotic small subunit ribosomal RNA", at positions 1470 to 1796 of the family's 1831-position model. The record is from RNAcentral.
CCCUUAGAUGUUCUGGGCUGCACGCGUACUACAAUGGAACUCGCAUCGAGUCGCGAAACUGAGAAGUUAAGCGAAUCUUGGAAUGUGUUCCGUGACCGGGACAGUUGAUUGCAAUUAUUCAACUCGAACGAGGAAUUCCUUGUAAUCGUGAUUCAUCAUAUCGCGAUGAAUACGUCCCUGCCCUUUGUACACACCGCCCGUCGCUCCUACCGAUUGAAUGGUCCGGUGAAGCCUCCGGAUUGGCGCGCACCUCGGUGCCGCCGAGAAGUUGGCUAAACCUUACCAUUUAGAGGAAGGUGAAGUCGUAACA